This 1460-nucleotide ribosomal RNA is filed under the name Tuanshanicoccus lijuaniae. RNAcentral describes it as "partial 23S ribosomal RNA". It matches the Rfam family "Bacterial large subunit ribosomal RNA", at positions 1 to 1484 of the family's 2925-position model. The record is from RNAcentral. Lineage: Bacteria; Bacillati; Bacillota; Bacilli; Lactobacillales; Aerococcaceae.
GGUUAAGUAACAAAGGGCGCACGGUGGAUGCCUUGGCACUAGGAGCCGAAGAAGGACGUGACGAACGACGAAAUGCGUUGGGGAGCUGUAAGUAAGCAAAGAUCCAGCGAUAUCCGAAUGGGGGAACCCACUACGAGGAAAGACGUAGUACGCGAAAGCGAGGUAGACGCAGAGAACUGAAACAUCUAAGUACCUGCAGGAAGAGAAAGAAAAAUCGAUUCCCGGAGUAGCGGCGAGCGAAAGGGGAAGAGCCCAAACCAAUGUGCAUGCACAUUGGGGUUGUAGGACUGCAACGUGAGAGUGAAAUGGAUAGAAGAAUGGCAUGGGAAGGCCAGCCAAAGAGAGUGAGAGCCUCGUAUUCGAAAUCGAUAACACCUCUAGCAGCAUCCUGAGUACGGCGGGACACGAGGAAUCCCGUCGGAAUCGGCCAGGACCAUCUGGCAAGGCUAAAUACUCCCUAGUGACCGAUAGUGAACCAGUACCGUGAGGGAAAGGUGAAAAGGACCCCGGGAGGGGAGUGAAAGAGUACCUGAAACCGUGUGCUUACAAGUAGUCAGAGCCCGUUAAGGGGUGAUGGCGUACCUUUUGUAGAAUGGACCGGCGAGUGACGAUAACGUGCGAGGUUAAGCUGAAGAAGCGGAGCCGAAGCGAAAGCGAGUCUUAAUAGGGCGAGAGUACGUUGUCGUCGACCCGAAACCAAGUGACCUACCCAUGAGCAGGUUGAAGGUGCGGUAAGACGCACUGGAGGACCGAACCAGGACACGUUGAAAAGUGUUUGGAUGACUUGUGGGUAGCGGAGAAAUUCCAAUCGAACUUGGAGAUAGCUGGUUCUCUCCGAAAUAUAUUUAGGUAUAGCCUCAGAGUAAGAGUCAAGGAGGUAGAGCACUGUUUGGACUAGGGGGGCGCAAGCUUUACCGAAUUCAGAUAAACUCCGAAUGCCAUGCACUCAUCUCUGGGAGUCAGACUGCGAGUGAUAAGAUCCGUAGUCGAAAGGGAAACAGCCCAGACCACCAGCUAAGGUCCCAAAGUAAUUGUUAAGUGGAAAAGGAUGUGGAGUUGCACAGACAGCUAGGAUGUUGGCUUAGAAGCAGCCAUCAUUUAAAGAGUGCGUAAUAGCUCACUAGUCGAGUGACUCCGCGCCGAAAAUGUACCGGGGCUAAACAAUACACCGAAGCUGUGGAUUCUAGCGAGUAGCUAGAGUGGUAGGAGAGCGUUCUAUUCGCGGAGAAGUCAUACCGUAAGGAGUGGUGGAGCGAAUAGAAGUGAGAAUGCCGGUAUGAGUAGCGCAAGACGGGUGAGAAUCCCGUCCACCGAAAGACUAAGGUUUCCAGGGGAAGGCUCGUCCGCCCUGGGUAAGUCGGGACCUAAGCAAAAGCCGAUAGGCGUAUGCGAUGGACAACAGGUAGAGAUUCCUGUACUUGGUAAGUAUCGAUUGAACGAAGGAGGGACACAGGAGGCGA